This 113-nucleotide ribosomal RNA is filed under the name Mytilus coruscus. The record is from RNAcentral. Lineage: Eukaryota; Metazoa; Mollusca; Bivalvia; Mytilida; Mytilidae.
CUACGACCAUAUCACACUGGCUUACCGGUUCUCGUCCGAUCACCGAAUUAAAGCAGCGUCGAGCUCAGUUGAGUACUUGGAUGGGUGACCGCCUGGGAAUGCGGGUGUUGUAG